Molecule: small RNA, 586 nt
Filed under: Pongo abelii (Sumatran orangutan)
Lineage: Eukaryota; Metazoa; Chordata; Mammalia; Primates; Hominidae
Description: retained intron
Source: RNAcentral
AAACCGAAGUCAGAAGGCUGUCUUAGCAGCACGCGGAGACGAAAGGGGUGCCAGCAUCAUGGCAGAACAGGAUGUGGAAAACGAUCUUUUGGAUUACGAUGAAGAGGAAGAGCCCCAGGCUCCUCAAGAGAGCACACCGGCUCCCCCUAAGAAAGACAUCAAGGGAUCCUACGUUUCCAUCCACAGCUCUGGCUUCCGGGACUUUCUGCUGAAGCCGGAGCUCUUGCGGGCCAUCGUGGACUGUGGCUUUGAGCAUCCGUCUGAGGUCCAGCAUGAGUGCAUUCCCCAGGCCAUCCUGGGCAUGGACGUCCUGUGCCAGGCCAAGUCCGGGAUGGGCAAGACAGCGGUCUUCGUGCUGGCCACCCUACAGCAGAUUGAGCCUGUCAACGGACAGGUGGGUGGGCUCCUCCCUUCCUGGCCCCACCCUGCCUGUGGCGGCGGAAGUAGAGUAGGCUGGAUGGGGUGGCUCACACCUGUUAGCCCAGUGCUUUGGGAAGCUGAGGCUGGAGGAUCGCUUGAGCCCAGGAAGUUGAGGCUGCAGUGUGCUAUGAUCACAGCACUGCACUCCAGCCUGGGUGACAGAGGU